AGAGCUGACGCAUUACGCAGGG
This 22-nucleotide unclassified non-coding RNA is filed under the name Mus musculus (house mouse). Its description in RNAcentral is "oocyte_clustered_small_RNA3517". The record is from RNAcentral. Lineage: Eukaryota; Metazoa; Chordata; Mammalia; Rodentia; Muridae.